Molecule: ribosomal RNA, 936 nt
Filed under: Hebeloma aminophilum
Lineage: Eukaryota; Fungi; Basidiomycota; Agaricomycetes; Agaricales; Hymenogastraceae
Description: LSU rRNA
Rfam family: Eukaryotic large subunit ribosomal RNA
Source: RNAcentral
AUAUCAAUAAGCGGAGGAAAAGAAACUAACAAGGAUUCCCCUAGUAACUGCGAGUGAAGCGGGAAAAGCUCAAAUUUAAAAUCUGGCGGUCUCCGGCCGUCCGAGUUGUAAUCUAGAGAAGUGUUAUCCGCGCUGGACCGUGUACAAGUCUCCUGGAAUGGAGCAUCAUAGAGGGUGAGAAUCCCGUCUUUGACACGGACUACCAGGGCUUUGUGAUGCGCUCUCAAAGAGUCGAGUUGUUUGGGAUUGCAGCUCAAAAUGGGUGGUAAAUUCCAUCUAAAGCUAAAUAUUGGCGAGAGACCGAUAGCGAACAAGUACCGUGAGGGAAAGAUGAAAAGAACUUUGGAAAGAGAGUUAAACAGUACGUGAAAUUGCUGAAAGGGAAACGCUUGAAGUCAGUCGCGUUGGCCGGGGAUCAACCUUGCUUUUGCUGGGCGUACUUUCCGGUCGACGGGUCAGCAUCAAUUUUGAUCGUUGGAUAAAGUCCAGGGGAAUGUGGCAUCUUCGGAUGUGUUAUAGCCCUUGGUCGCAUACAACGGUUGGGAUUGAGGAACUCAGCACGCCGCAAGGCCGGGUACUUGUACCACGUUCGUGCUUAGGAUGCUGGCAUAAUGGCUUUAAUCGACCCGUCUUGAAACACGGACCAAGGAGUCUAACAUGCCUGCGAGUGUUUGGGUGGAAAACUCGGACGCGUAAUGAAAGUGAAAGUUGAGAUCCCUGUCGUGGGGAGCAUCGACGCCCGGACCAGACCUUUUGUGACGGAUCCGCGGUAGAGCAUGUAUGUUGGGACCCGAAAGAUGGUGAACUAUGCCUGAAUAGGGUGAAGCCAGAGGAAACUCUGGUGGAGGCUCGUAGCGAUUCUGACGUGCAAAUCGAUCGUCAAAUUUGGGUAUAGGGGCGAAAGACUAAUCGAACCAUCUAGUAGCUGGUUCCUGC